CUGCUGAGGAGUCCCACAACAGGACGAAACGGCCGUCCAG
This is a non-coding RNA of Schistosoma haematobium, 40 nucleotides long. The record is from Rfam. Lineage: Eukaryota; Metazoa; Platyhelminthes; Trematoda; Strigeidida; Schistosomatidae.